UUCCCUGAAGAUUCUGGAAACAGCCCUGC
RNAcentral lists this non-coding RNA (29 nucleotides) under Rattus norvegicus (Norway rat). The record is from RNAcentral. Lineage: Eukaryota; Metazoa; Chordata; Mammalia; Rodentia; Muridae.